Molecule: long non-coding RNA, 1859 nt
Organism: Candoia aspera
Lineage: Eukaryota; Metazoa; Chordata; Lepidosauria; Squamata; Candoiidae
Exons: 3
Source: RefSeq, a predicted model, not a curated record
GGGCAGUUUACAAUAAAAUUAAAAUAACUACAGAUGAAAAUAAAAUAAAAUAAAAAUUCUUUCCUGGGGAUCUGAGGCAUAAGAAGCCAGAAUCAACAAAUUGAUUCUGAGCUGGGAGAAAACUUCAGAAACUGAUGGUUUCCUAGACUCUAAUUGCAGAAAACGUCCUCUUCAUUACAGGAAUAACUCUGUUUUUGUGGCUGCUCUUCUGCUUCCCAGAUCUGCAUGCUGCAUUCCAGGGCCUGCAGGCAGUGUGUCUCAGACUGGUACCAGGCCUGUACAUUUCUGGCCAAGGAGAUUCAGAGCUUUUUGAUGCUGUAAGGUUUCAGUUACAAGGUGUAAAAUUUACUAGACUGAAAAAGGAGGAAAAGAAAACCUGCUAUUUUAAAAGAUUUAUAUACCGUUUUCUUAUUAGAGCCCUGUGCACUUGGAACAGUGAAUACUUCAGCCCUUUUGAAGAACUGCAAAUAAGAGGGUUUGCAUUAUACUGGAAGGAACCGCCCUGCUGUGUGAAAUUGUGAACUUCUUUCACCUUCAUUCCUAUAAAUCUAAACUUUGUUCAGCUCCAUCUUCCUGCCACUUUGCUCUUUCCCUAAGGACCGGGCUGCCUUGGCUUUGGCUGUUUUUAUUGUAUGUUUUCAGGACCCUGUAACUCCCCGCCUGCCCCUCCUUCCUCCCUGCUAUGGCUUAAAUGCCCCUCCCACAAGAAAAGCCCUGACUCUCUUGGUCUUGUGCAACCCACAAGGGUCCCAUUGAGGCUCUCACAGUGGACAAACUUAUAGCUCCAGAGGUAACCCUGCCCCAUCUGCUUUCAACAUGUUGUGCCUGACAUUAACUAAUGUCUCCUAUUAGCACUGAAAGAAACCAAUCUGGAAAAAUGUAUUUUCAAGCCGAGUUCAAACAGGCCACAAAGAGCAGUAGAUUUUCAGCUGUGUGUGCAAAACUUUUUUUUUACUAUGUAUAUAUAUGUGUGUGUGUGUGUCUGUCUGCUGAAGCCAAGAAUUUGAGGAACAGGUCAAGGGCACAGAAGUCAUGCACAAAUCCUCUGAUUUACUGACUGGCAACAUGAAAAGGAGAGAAAAACUCAGACUGAUUCAGCAGAGAUAAUAUAGGGCAAACAAGAAAGAAACUAGCAGAGAAGUGAGGUAUUAUCUUGCCAUCCAAGAAAAGCUAGAGAAAAUACAUGCUCAUGAAGGCUCAUGAAUCAAUUAUUCUGCUGCUUCACUGACUAGGAAGACAUAGAAUUAGCAGCCACCAUAGAAGAUUCUAAUUAAGAAGUGCCCAAGAUCUUUUCCAAAAAAGACAUAUUUCAGAGAUGCUGCAAACCAAGUUGAGAUCUUUACUGAAUAUCCACUCUGACCCCAAGAAAAUCUUUUUCCUGUUAAUUAUGGACAGUUCAAACUCCAUCAAUGGUAUGUGAAGUUAGUUUUUUUUUCUUCAGUCAGAUAAAAAUUGCAACCAAUUGUUGCUUUGUGUUUGAAGGGGUGGUCUAUGGGAGAGAUUACUGGCUCAUACUGUACCCCCAUGUCUCAGCACCUGGGAUCCACUGUAGCAUCUUGCUGGAAUAGUUAGGAAAAGACAAAUUAUUGAUAUACCAAUACUGGUAAUUUGGAAGGCAGCUGAAAUUACUGUUACAAAACUAUAAAACUUUUCAAAGUUUUUAAUGCAUUUCUUGUUUUUAAAUAAUUCAUCUUCAUUCUUUCCUCAGAUUGGCUCUGGGAUUUCAUUGCAAAACAAGAGACAAAUGUUCACAAAUGCAUGGAAAGAAACUUAUGGAGCAUAAAAGAAGUGAACAGUAGCAAUAUACUGUACUCAUACUGGGCUCUCUGUCAUGGUUGUGUUAAAACACUAUCCACCAG